GCCCGAUUAGCUCAGCUGGUUAGAGCGUCGUACUAAUAUCUCUUCUUCCAAGAAAUAUCAAGUGAUGCGAAGGUCAACAGUUCAAUCCUGUUAUUGGGCA
Non-coding RNA from Podospora australis, 100 nucleotides. The record is from the annotation of a GenBank genome assembly. NCBI's taxonomy places the organism in Eukaryota, Fungi, Ascomycota, Sordariomycetes, Sordariales, Podosporaceae.